Molecule: ribosomal RNA, 751 nt
Filed under: uncultured bacterium
Lineage: Bacteria
Description: bacterial SSU rRNA
Rfam family: Bacterial small subunit ribosomal RNA
Source: RNAcentral
UUCUUUAUCACCGAGUGCUUGCACUCACCGGUAAAGGGUUGAGUGGCGAACGGGUGAGUAACACGUGGGCAACCUGCCCAAAAGAGGGGGAUAACACUUGGAAACAGGUGCUAAUACCGCAUAACCAUAGUUACCGCAUGGUAGCUAUGUAAAAGGUGGCUAUGCUACCGCUUUUGGAUGGGCCCGCGGCGCAUUAGCUAGUUGGUGGGGUAAAGGCUUACCAAGGCAAUGAUGCGUAGCCGAACUGAGAGGUUGAUCGGCCACAUUGGGACUGAGACACGGCCCAAACUCCUACGGGAGGCAGCAGUAGGGAAUCUUCCACAAUGGGCGAAAGCCUGAUGGAGCAACGCCGCGUGGGUGAAGAAGGUCUUCGGAUCGUAAAACCCUGUUGUUAGAGAAGAAAGUGCGUGAGAGUAACUGUUCACGUUUCGACGGUAUCUAACCAGAAAGCCACGGCUAACUACGUGCCAGCAGCCGCGGUAAUACGUAGGUGGCAAGCGUUAUCCGGAUUUAUUGGGCGUAAAGGGAACGCAGGCGGUCUUUUAAGUCUGAUGUGAAAGCCUUCGGCUUAACCGGAGUAGUGCAUUGGAAACUGGGAGACUUGAGUGCAGAAGAGGAGAGUGGAACUCCAUGUGUAGCGGUGAAAUGCGUAGAUAUAUGGAAGAACACCAGUGGCGAAAGCGGCUCUCUGGUCUGUAACUGACGCUGAGGUUCGAAAGCGUGGGUAGCAAACAGGAUUAGAUACCCUGGU